GAAAUAUGUUAUUCAAGAAAAAGCUUCUAACUUUUAACUUUAGUGGUGAAAUUCCAUUAAUAUUUCU
This 67-nucleotide transfer RNA is filed under the name Dryops ernesti. RNAcentral's name for it is "tRNA-Ser". Lineage: Eukaryota; Metazoa; Arthropoda; Insecta; Coleoptera; Dryopidae. The record is from RNAcentral.